ACAAGACAAGCUAAAUCUUGCACUUCACAGGCCUGAUUUUGUUCUUUGCAGCCUUGAGAAUGGUCAUGCCAACCCUUCAAAAAUCACCUGCCUGCUUGUCAGGAGAAAAUCGUUUGAUGUGUCCAUAGCUCCAGCUCAAGCAUUCAAAUAAUAGUAUUUGCUAGAACAGAAGAACCGUUAAAAAAGUUGUGCAAUGCUGUAACAUAUUUACUUCAAGACAAACUUUUCCUGUUUAUAUAUGCUUAACUAAUCUGUCGAGCUUACAGGAAAAAUCUUCAAAUUCAGCAUCCAUGGUACACAACAGUUACCAGAAAUUGUUGGCUUAUUUUCAUAACUAAAUGUUAUGAAAUUUCUCGUGUAAUUGUCAAGGAAACCACAAGAUGGAAAAGGGAGAAAUGCAGAAGAAUUUUACAAUGACUGACUUUUCUGUUCUGCUAACCCCUUUGUUUGCCUCUAUUGUUUGAUCAGGGAUCAACUGAAUUUCCCAAUGUCGCAACUAAAGCUAGUUAAGAUGAAAUUUGGAGUACUUUUCAAUAAUUUUCGUCAGUUAUUGCUAAGAACUUAUAAACAAAGUUUUAUUCAAUCUUAAGCUACAUAAGUUUAAUUAGUUUCAAAACUAGGAUUUUCAUUUUGGCUUCUUACCUUCUAUACAUAUAUACUAUUUUACUUCAAAAAAAAGGUGAGGAGUGCUUGACCAGUGGAAUAAUAAUUCAUUUUUUAUGUUUCUUAUUUUUAUGUAGUAGUUCUUUUUCAUUCUAAGAACAAGAGGUGGUGAAGAUGGAAAUUCUCAAUUAACAGUAAAGUAUUUAGGAACAGUCUGCAGUUGUUAGAGAGUUACUUAACUACAAGAGUAUUGCUGCACAUUUCCAACCUCACAGAUCAAGAUACCUUCUCAAAUUGUUGAAAAAUAGGAAUUCAAUCCCUUUUGGUAAAAACAAAUCCUUCGCCUGGUGGAAAUGCUAAUCAAGUUUCUUGAAUCCUUCGUGAACGCUUCUCUUGUUUGUUGUGGGAUAAGCCAACUGAGGAUUGACUGCGGUUGAGUGAUAAUAAACAGGAAAGGUUAUUGAACGACGAACACAUUUAUCUAGAUGCAUCAUGCUGAAUUCUAAAGCAUAAUUGAUUCUAUAAAUUCAUGACCACAAUAUUUUUUUUCCAUGCUCCUCUAUGAAGACAGUCAUGUAAGUAAGACAAGCACUCUCAUUCAACAUGCUACCGACAGGCUACUGCGGAAGUUAAAGAAUGUAAAUUCUGACAUACCAGCUAUUAGAAGUUUAUGACUGCUAAAAUGCUAAAACUACAAACCUACAAGUAGAAAAAGGACAAGAUCAUGAGAAGAAAAGAAAGCUCCAGAAUAGAGUAAAUGAUGACUUUGUUCUGUUCUUCAAUUAUAUGUCAAGCCGUAACAGAAAAAGAAUUCACGUCAGAACCUGAGGCCACAGCAGACAACUAUUGCUAGCAAAUGACCAUCUGGAUAGGUCUACAUCAGGCAUGCAGUGAUUUCACAAUGUUGAAAGCCAUAUCUUUAAACAUGUAAGUUAUAUAUAUUCAAAAACGAUGCCUUUGUCUCAUUUGUUAGAUUAGAGUUCAACUAUAUUUCCCAUUAUAGCAAUUAAGAAUUAGAAAGAUAAAAGCAGCUAAGAAAUGAGAUUAAUUUUUUUAAACCUUCCAAGAUCUAGGAAUUUCAUUUUGGCUUCUUACUUUCUGUAGAGUAUUCUUUUCUUUACUCGAUAUAAAAGGUAAGGAAUUCUUUGUCAGAGCAUGACUAUUCCCUUUUCUGAUGUUUCUCGUAUUCAUACUGUAGUUUUCUUUUAUUGUAAGAAAGAGGGGUGGUGAAUAUGGACAUGCUGAUCUGAGCACAUGAGAAUACGUUAAGGAACAGUGCAGAGUUAAGGUGCAAAGCUUUGUAACUACAAGGUAUUGUCGCAGAUUACCAUCCUCACUGAUCAAACUGUUGGAGUCUAGGAGCUCAAAUCCUCGUCUAUAACCAAUUCCUUCAUCUAUCUUGCUUGUUGCAUCCUUCAAGAUUGUUUCCCUUGUUAGUUGAGGGCUAAGCCAAAUGAUCAUUGACUGAAGAAAAUUAGGAGGAAUGGUUAUUGAAGGGUGAACACUGAUUAGCCUAAGAUGCAUCUUACUGGAUUCCGAAGUAUAAUAUUUGAAUAAAACAGCACAAGGAUACCUUGUUUCACACUUACUUGUCAAGACUCAAGGCAAUCAUAUAAGAACAGGAAAGUAUUUAACACGCUGUUGACAAGAAGAAAAGAGAGCUCCAGAGUACAGAAAAUUACAGGCUUAUAUAUAUGGUUGUACAAUACUAUGUUGAUCCAUAAAAGAAAAAGAAAACAUGCUAGCAAAGGACCAUCUGAAUAGUUCCACAUCAGCCAUGCUGUAUGUUUGAUGAAAUAGGACACCUUAGAACAUGUAAAUAUGUAGAUAUUCAAAAACAAUGUCUAAAAUAAAAAAAGAUGAUAAUUCUUGGAUUCCACAUGAUCGUUUCUCUUGCCUGUAGAGGGCUAAACGCAAAUGAAGAACAGGGAGAAAUUUCCUUACCUAUGUCAUACCUGUUUGAUAACCUAAUUUAGCACUUAAAUUUAAUGGAUUUCUUAAUAUAUUCAGAUCAUUUGAUAAUAAAAAAUUGAACAUCUGAAUUAAUUAACUGGCAUUGAAUUUCCUAGACAAAACUUGCUUCCAAAAUUAAGUGAUAAACUAUUUACUUAUUACUGAAUAUGAUAUGUAUUCAAAUGUAUUAGAUUUAAUACUUAACAAUUCAAUAACUUAAUAGAUGUAGACUUCAUAUUUCAGUUUUAUCAAACACACAAUGUCUCUUCCAAAUGUGGAGAAAAUGCUUAUAUAUGAAGUCAUCAGCACACUAACAGCAACACUUCGAUCAAGAUGUUAUUUUGGAAGUCAAAAAUCAAAAUGAAGAACAUCACUCAUUAGCCAGUUCAGAAGCUUUCAGUUAAAAUAACAUCUUAAUACAUCAUAAGAAGAAGAAAAGAGACAGUGCCAACAAACAGCAAGAAACAACACUUUUCACAAGUGGAAUAAUAUGUUCGCAGUAAGCAGAAAGCAUAAUUUUGCUCCUCUUCUGGGAUCUCAUUUAUAGAAAACUGUCAAUUGCUAAAAAUAGAUGGUCAGCAGCUCGCGAGACAACUCAAUGCUUUCAUUGUAAUGUCAACAAAAAGCCACAUGCGCUGCUGAACCUAUGACACUUGCAUGAAUCCUAAUGUGGUAUGCACACAACAAUUACAAAACUGCACACAGCUGAUAAUUUAAGUGGCGUAUACUCCAGUUGAAGAGUAGGAGUAAUGCAACUAUUGCGUUGGCCUUGCGUUAGGAUUGCAAUUGACAACCCCCACUCAGUAAAGCAUCUAAGUUAAGUUACCCGACACUGUGUAGGAUACCGUAUGUCAGGGAGCCUGCCGACAAGUAGCCUAUCAAGCUUGUUUGUCUGAUGAUCAUAUGAAUAAACAAUUGUAAAGCAACUGGGCUUCUUAUUUGGUAGGUCGGAAAAUAAUAUCUGCCCAGUAGGGAGGCUGCCAACAUAAGCUGUUCCCCUUGCCAAAACUUCUGAAGGCAAGGGAAUGUCAUGCCUGCUCCAGGAUUUACCUUCAUUAAUGUACGAGUGACAAAACACCUAAGAGUUUCAAAAUCAGUGGGAAUCAACAGACCUAUACGUCUCAUGAAUUGUACAAGCUCCCAUCUGUUUCCCUUUAUCCUGAAUAAUGCAUCGUCUGGCAGUUCUAUCAAUUGGAAUUUCUCUAUGUUGAGAUCAAAAGAAAUCAGCCUUCUACAAUCAUCCUCACAAUCAACUACCCAAUACAGGAUCCCACCAACCAAAGGCUCUCACUUGAAAAGAUUUUUCUAUCGAAUUUUAUCAGACGUACAAGUGUUGAGUAAAAGAACUGAAAUUCUACGGGUGCUUCUGUGUCAGGGUUUUCUAGUUGAUCAGAUCUGGCAUCAAUGUAGACUGGGAUGAACAUUGGGAUGCCACCAUGAUAUGAUUGAGCACCAAUACUUUGAAAGGCACUUGCACUUGUGCAGAUUCUUGACCCUUCGAAGCCUUACAAGUAUUUCAAAAACCAAGUCAUCUGAUAACUGCUUCUGUUGUGAGAUUAUUGAGCCAUUUACAGCAGUGCCUUCUGCUGUUUGAUUAGAAUUCUGACGAUUCCUCUCAUCCAUUUUUUGAUCAUCAAGUGUCUGAAUCCAUGAUCUUCUCCUUGGAAUAUGGUCUGCUUCUUCCAGGUGAGCUGAAUCAGGGAUUAUUCCCCAAAUCCGUGGAAAAUACUAAACUUGGAUGUAGGAAGAUAUCCUACAGGAAAGAUAAACAAUCCCACAAAAUAAUACAUCAGUAGCCUUGGACUAAUACAUAUAUGUAGACUGCUAAGAUUUCUAUAGCAUGGUUUCCAAACCAACAAAGGAAUCAAUUAUACAAUCGGACUCCAGCUUCUACAAUUUGGCAACUAUCAAAUAAAAGAAACUUGAUUUAAUUCCUAGGUUUCCAAGAUAGUAAAUAAAGUUCCCCCACAAAUCCUAUCGUUCUCUUCAUAAGAGUUGGAAUCCUUAUUCCUUUAUUAUUUCAUCUACAUUUUCCUGUUUUCUUAUUAUAUCCCAUCUGGUUUAGAUCCUAGAAUAAAAUGUAUAAAGCUACAGCAAAGAAUGUAAACAAAAAAAAAAUCCAAUUUCUAAUAUGAUAUGAUAUGAUGUCUGCGAUUAUUAUUUCGCAGCAUAAGAAACUUGAUUUAAGUUCAACAGCGUCCACUACUUCCUAAUGACCCUCACUGAGCAAAAAAUCUAAUGGGGCAAGAUUUUCCUCUAUAAAAGUUACCCCAACACCUAAAUUUGUAGCAUGACGUAUCUGAGGUGGGCUGCCAACCAACAGCCUCUCAAACCUAUUUUUCUGAUGAUCAUAUGAAUAAAUUGGCACGCAAGCUGACUUCGACUUCUUCUGAUCUAGUAACUUAAGGUUGGAAAACAAUAUUUGGCCGGUGGGAAGAUUGCCAACAAAUACGGCAGUUCUCUCUUCUGAAUCUGAUCCAAGUGGCCAGGGGAUAUAUUGCUUGAUCCAACAUUUGGCGUCAUUACCAUCAUGAUCUAGCAAGUGAACCCCAAAACAGACAUAAUCAGAAUUCAACAGGCCUAGGUGUCCCUUGAACUGCACAAAUUGCCAUUCCUUUGGAUGGACUAAAAAUUUGUAAUCCGGCGGGGGUUGAAUCAGAUCAAACCUGUCUUUCUUGAAGUCAAAAGAAACUAGUCUUGGCUGAUUAUCAAGGCAAUUAACAAUCCAAUACAUUACUCCUUUAACUAAAAGGUACCAAGCAGAGGAAAGGCCUGACCCUUCAGAAGACACGACCUCGUCCAGCUCUGGGGAGUCGACGUCUAGUGCUGCAGAGGAGUCGGCCGAGGAGGGAACUGUCGAGACCACCCCAGGGUUGGAAUGGGUGGUUCCGAGAUCUUAUAUAAUGACGAUCUCGGAACUGAAAUACCCCACAAUGAGGGCGUGCUGGAGCCGGUCGCACCAAAGGAUGUCGCUGAAAUAAACUUCGGCAAGAUGCUAACAGGUGUCGAGCCUGUGCAAUAAAAAAUACCUGCUCGAGAAAAAUAAAUUUUCUGUGUAUAGUAGUGAGCAGGGUCGAAUCCACAGGAACUGGAAAAAAUUCGAUUCUUUUUAAAUUCGAGACACGGGGGAUUUUUUUUAUCAGAUAAAACUAAAAAUAAAUAAUUUAACAAUUUAACUAAAAAUAAUUAAUUAAUUAAUUAAUACAAAUGUAAAUAGCAAUCUAAUAAAUAAUAAAUAAAUUCUAGCCAAGGAUACAACUACGCAAACACAGUCCAUUCAUCCGAUCAUUGAUGCAAAGAAGGUUCACUUAAUUUUAUUAACAGGUUAGUUAUAGUCGCCGAUAAACUCUAACGACCAGCUUUUCCUUAAUUUAUUGAUAACCAAGGUACGGCCGUUGAUUAUCCCUAACCAGGAAAUACUCCUAGGUACGACCAUAGGAAUUAAUUUCCUAAUUGCAUUAAAAACUAUAAAAACCUAACCCAAAUUAAUAACACGCUACGAGGGUUAUUUAAAUCAGAUUGCAUGUUCCCCUAGUAUGUGAAAAUGCUAGUUGUCACUAAUAUUAACCAACUAAACAAUUACGGAUUUAAUUGAUUAAUUUGACAAGAGAUUAAUAAGUCAAAUUGCACAUCGGGCCCUUGAUAUCCAAUUAACAAAAUAAUCCCAUGGAAAUUCAAAUAGAAACAUAUUAACAAAUUAAGGAACACGUAAAAUUAAUUAGAUCUCACAGAUAUUUGGGACUGCAUCUUCGCGUUGAUCCUUGACUAAAUGAGAAAAUUAGCCACUCCUCAUAAGAAAAUUCCCACGCAAUUUAAUUAGAAUCAAAUACAUAAAUAACUAACUAAGAAUUUAGAAAGAAACUUGAGUCUCCGUAGACUCUUUGAAGAAAAGUUUCGCACCACACAACAAGAGAAGGAAGAACUCCUCCUCCGAAAACCAAAAACUACCUCUAUCAUCCUACGGAGCUUCUUUGGAGAGAACUCAAAACUAGUUUUUAUAUAUUCUGCCUUCUCUCAUAGCUUUUUUUUUUAUUUAGCAGAGAUUUGGAUUUGACUGGUAUUUCUUUAAUUUGCUGCUUAUCUUACUGUUGUCUUGAUGAAUAAAUGUGGCAUCUCACUCGUCUAUUGCUGGUUAUGAUUUGUUCUAUGAAUUUAGUUUAAGUGGCAAGUAAACGCAUGUUAUCUUCAUGAAUAUCAUGAGUUUAAUGACUUGGUGCAAAUUGUGGUUAACUUGUUUAGGCAAUAUAAAUAUUUUAUUAGCAAUUGUUGUGUGGAUUGGGCAAUUGUUGAUCUUAGUUCUCCAUAUUAGGAGAUGACGUGGGCCAUGAUCUUUAAUUAUCUGGUAUUCUGGUGCUUUAAUUGUGAUUAAUAAAUGACUCUACUCCGCUAGUGCCGUCACCCAGUAACCGGGAGUCUUCACCACAAGUGUCGACUUUCGCGUCAAAAAGUGGCGAUAUCUAUGAGUAGUUAGUCCUGAAGCUGUGAAAAGUUGAGUAACUGGGCUCUUUUAUCUAAAAAUGUCAGAGUUCACGUCAAAAGACUUGAAUAGCUUGGGACUGAGCAUUUAUUGAAAUUUUUUUUAUUAUUAUCAAAAAAAAAAGAAAAAAAAAGA
This 7168-nucleotide long non-coding RNA is filed under the name Coffea arabica (coffee). RNAcentral's name for it is "long non-coding RNA (CARA_LNC003654)". The record is from RNAcentral. Lineage: Eukaryota; Viridiplantae; Streptophyta; Magnoliopsida; Gentianales; Rubiaceae.